This 501-nucleotide ribosomal RNA is filed under the name uncultured bacterium. RNAcentral's name for it is "partial 16S ribosomal RNA". It matches the Rfam family "Bacterial small subunit ribosomal RNA", at positions 29 to 523 of the family's 1533-position model. The record is from RNAcentral.
AUUGAACGCUGGCGGAAUGCUUUACACAUGCAAGUCGAACGGCAGCACGGGUGCUUGCACCUGGUGGCGAGUGGCGAACGGGUGAGUAAUCCAUCGGAACGUACCUUAUCGUGGGGGAUAACGCAGCGAAAGCUGUGCUAAUACCGCAUACGCCCCGAGGGGGAAAGCGGGGGACCGAAAGACCUCGCGCGAUUAGAGCGGCCGAUGCCUGAUUAGCUUGUUGGUGGGGUAAAAGCCCACCAAGGCGACGAUCAGUAGCUGGUCUGAGAGGACGAUCAGCCACACUGGGACUGAGACGCGGCCCAGACUCCUACGGGAGGCAGCAGUGGGGAAUUUUGGACAAUGGGGGCAACCCUGACCCAGCAAUGCCGCGUGAGUGAAGAAGGCCUUCGGGUUGUAAAGCUCUUUUGUCAGGGAAGAAACACCGGCUCUAACACAGUCCGGGAAUGACGGUACCUGAAGAAGAAGCACCGGCUAACUACGUGCCAGCCGCCGCGGUAA